GCCAAAAUCAACGACUACACAACUUCUUCUUCAAAAUGGUUGAUACUCGAAAAUCUUCGACGAAAAAUUCUGGCCACCAGUUGCGUUCCGGCCGAACUUCUGGUGAAGCACAAUAAUAUACUCGCAAGCAUCCGGCUAAAUCAAAGACGGUCAAACAAGCAACUCACAAGCUCGAUGCAGAUCCUGGAAACAAAAUUCCAGAUCCAGAAGGUAAAACUUCCUCUGCACCCAAGAAGAAUGCAAGUAGUGCUCCUCAAGUCCCUACUGAAAUCCCUGCUACCAAAAGU
Molecule: long non-coding RNA, 287 nt
Organism: Salvia splendens (bonfire salvia)
Lineage: Eukaryota; Viridiplantae; Streptophyta; Magnoliopsida; Lamiales; Lamiaceae
Exons: 3
Source: RefSeq, a predicted model, not a curated record